This 28-nucleotide small RNA is filed under the name Bombyx mori (domestic silkworm). RNAcentral's name for it is "ovarian small RNA-3878". The record is from RNAcentral. Lineage: Eukaryota; Metazoa; Arthropoda; Insecta; Lepidoptera; Bombycidae.
UGUCCGAACGCCGACCCUGUGGAGGGGU